CUAGGGCACUUUGGCAAGGAUUUGACUGAGGGGCUGUUGAAGAUGUCCUCUUGCUACUUUGGGGCUGGACUGCCGUUUGGGAGGGCACCUGCCCCGGAUGGCGCAGAGGCUGUCCUCGUUGACUAGCUGGAGCAGGAUGACAUAGGUACAGCAGCGGUGGCAGCGCUUACGAAGCCGCUCACUCCAGCGUGCUGUCUAUUUCAUCUGCGCCGUCAUUUGCUUGGCAUCCUUUCUGCAAGGUGGCACUAACGUGGUGCUUCUCAGGCAGAGUGUUCUGCCCCCUCCCACCAGGAGACACUUAGCAAUGUCUCAAGAUGUUUUCAAUUGUCAAGUCAGGGGGGGUGCCCCUGACCUCAGGGGGUAAGGACCGGAUGUGCCUAACUGUCCCACAGCGAGUGCCACAGACCCCCUACCAAAGAAGUACUGGGCCCUGUCGAUGGUGCCGCGGUGAGGAAUCUGCAUUAAAGUAAAUGGACCAGGUGCCACCGGAAUUACCCAAAAUACCUUCAAUUCGUAGGCUAUGCAUUAAUGAUUCAUACGGAUUUUUUCCAAUGAAACAUUUAAAUAUCCACAAUGGGAACUCCUGUAUUAGAAUCUUUUUAGAAAAAAAUAAUGCAAAAUCCAAAGGGAGAGAUAAUCUUCAUGAAGCAGCCAAUCAAAAUCGCCUUCUGGGCACAUGAGACUACAAAAUACUGCACUGACUUGGAAAAGUAAAAUAAACUUAUAUCCUGUCUUACACAGAGUUGUGAUCUCAAGGACAUCAUGAUCUAACCGCGGAGUGAAAAAACUACUCCGGGAGUUCCCGUCAGUGGCACAGUGGUUAACGAAUCCGACUAGGAACCAUGAGGUUGCGGGUUCGAUCCCUGCCCUUGCUCAGUGGGUUAACGAUCCGGUGUUGCCGUGAGCUGUAGUGUGGACCCCUAGCCUAGGAACCUCCAUAUACUGCAGGAGCGGCCCGAGAAAUGGCAAAAAGACAAAAAAAAAAAAAAAAAAAAAAAACAAACAAAAAAAACUACUCCGUGGUUUACUUCUUUAUAUAUUCCACCGGGCUUUUCUGCCCUCCAGCUUGCUCCGUGGCUCACAUGCCAACCUGGCUGAUCACUGUCCUUUUUAUUAGUUUUUUCCGUAGGGCUGCACAUGGAAGUUCCUGGGCUAGGGGUCAGGUCCAAGCUUCUGCCAAUCCAGGCCACAGCCACAGCAAACACCAGAUCUCUGACCUGCUGUGGGAGGCCAGGGAUCGAACCCACAUCCUCACAGGCACCGGUCAAGCCGCAACAGGAGCUCGUAUUAGAUGCUGCUUUUGAUCCACGUAGCAUCGUAAUUCUAAGACAUGUGAGGGCACAGAGAUGUUACCUUUCCCUGGGCAUACCAGCUGUUCCAUGCAGAAGUUGAGGCAAUAAGCCAAAUUUAUUUUCUAAAUUUGGGGGCAAGUCUUAUUUCCCCCCAGAUGCAAUCAGAAUUUCAAAGAGCGUCUUUGUUCAAGGACCAGAUGAAAGCAGCCCUUUGCCAGAAUUGGAAUUUGCCUUCACAGCAGCCAGCAGCAAGCAUGUGCCAUAGCCUUUUGUGAGUGCAGAGAUCUUGGAAACGGACCUCAAGCGUUUUCUAGGCAGCGUUUGGGGGUGGUGGUGGCGGAAAUGGAGCUAAAAGUGACCUGAACAUCAUGUGACGAAUUCUGCCUUCUCUUCAUAUCCUGUGAUUGGCAUUUGCGUCCAUUCACAUUUUCAGAAAUAAUGACCCAGCUGGAAAACUGGAAACCCGCUGAAUCUGAGCGCCAUCUCAGAGAGCUGCCGACAAUGCCCGCAAAAGAAGGUUGGCUUUUUGUCUCCCGGGGGCGGGAGAGAGGACAGGAGAUGCUGGCAUCUGAGGCUCCCUGCCAGCCUGGAAGGAGACAGUCUGGCUGAAUGAGGCUGAAUCCAGAAGCAACUGGUUCAUUCUUCAUUCGGAUCCUUAUCGAGAACUUGGUUAAUGACCUGCUAAAUCUGAACCUGCUCAAUUACAUUCCAGGCCCAUCACUAAAAACUUAAGUAGCUUUAAUUAGUUUUUAUUGAAAAGCAUAAGUAAGGUGAGUAUUGACUCUCUUAGAUUUAAACUUCUGUGAUUGGAAACAGUAAGGCAUUCGAGCCCUUCCAUCACUGCUCGUGAGCGUCUGGGGAAUUGCUGUGGGACGGCUCUUUAAAGAUAUCCUAUAAAAGUUCCCAGACGCCUCUCAAAGCCACGCCAUCCUCGGACUCCCGAGCUUCACAGUUUUAAUCCCUUCCGACGUGGGCCUCGGGAGGGGGGGACGAGGAAAUCUAGAUUUCCCCUCUCUCUUAUUCUCUGACCUUGAACCAAGAGUAUGAAUAACCCCGCGCCCUUUGUCUCAGGAUCCCUGAUUCCUGUGGAUUCCUGAGGCUCUUUUGCAGGGCUGGCUGUAGGCAGUGAGCUGUCAAGGUGUCAGUGGCGUGGGCUCCUCUGGGGGACAUUGCACACAGCCAUCCCUGCCACUGUGCUCCGAGUUAGUCUGUGCUCCAGCGGGCCCUCCAGCUGGCUGCCAGCACAUCCUCUGAACCAAAUGCUUGGUUAGAAUGUUAGAACAGAGCUUUUUGAUGCCAAUCAGGGUGGGGCCCUGACACUCCAGCCUCUGGCCCUCAGAGCUGAUAAAUCACCAUCCAUGUCAGCACUUUGCACUGACUGUACGCCCACCUUACCUGCCUUGCUGGGUUUUUUCUCUCUGAAACACUUAGUUGAGCUCCGAAGGCAUGCCUGUGGUCCAUCAAUAUCCCCGAUUUAGGAUUCCUUUCCCAAGAGCUUGGGCAUUCAUCCUGGCAAAAAAAAAAAAAAAAAAAAAAAAAAAAA
Molecule: long non-coding RNA, 2835 nt
Filed under: Sus scrofa (pig)
Lineage: Eukaryota; Metazoa; Chordata; Mammalia; Artiodactyla; Suidae
Description: lncRNA (ENSSSCG00035030862.1)
Source: RNAcentral